Molecule: ribosomal RNA, 253 nt
Filed under: uncultured bacterium
Lineage: Bacteria
Description: partial 16S ribosomal RNA
Rfam family: Bacterial small subunit ribosomal RNA
Source: RNAcentral
UACGUAGGGUGCGAGCGUUGCCCGGAUUUAUUGGGCGUAAAGGGCGCGUAGGCGGCCACGCACGUCCGUUGUGAAAUCGCCCGGCUCAACUGGGCGGGGUCAGCGGAUACGGUGUGGCUCGAGCAAGCUAGGGGGCAAUGGAAUUCCCGGUGUAGUGGUGGAAUGCGUAGAUAUCAGGAGGAACACCAAUAGCGAAGGCAGCUCGCUGGGACGUUACUGACACUGAGGCGCGAAAGCGUGGGGAGCGAACAGG